Molecule: long non-coding RNA, 918 nt
Organism: Megalobrama amblycephala (Wuchang bream)
Lineage: Eukaryota; Metazoa; Chordata; Actinopteri; Cypriniformes; Xenocyprididae
Exons: 2
Source: RefSeq, a predicted model, not a curated record
UUCGUGAACUCAAAAGAAAAAGAGUUCUAAAUGCUCAUAAAAGUUCAUUUGAUUGAACUAAUUUGUUUAAUUUAAGUUUGCGCUACUCAAACCAAUUAAUCAUUUUGAGCGUUAAGGUUGACAGUGUUCGUAAUACUGCUGAUUAAGUGCGUUAAGGCCCGUUCACACCAAGGACAAUAACUUUAACUUUAAUAAUUGUUCUAAUUCUACAAGAAUAGGAAAGUACACCACAACUAUUACAUUAACAACACUGAGGAACGAUAUCAUUGGAAUUGCUUUCAGAAUGAUUUUUCCCAGCUGAUGUACGAUGAAAACAUUGACAGGACCUCGAGCAUUUAAAGGUGCCAGAUGACAAAAUUACAGCACGUUUAUAAUAUACAGAACAAUAUCAUCCAUUGGUGUGAACAGGCCGCCCGAAGAUUUAUUAGUUUAUUAGACUUGAAAAUAAAAAUCAAACAACACACCGUAAACAAAAAAGUCCAUAAUAUUCAUAAACUGGAUUUUAAAAAAAAUGUUAAAAGCCAAAGAAAUCUACAGGAUCACAUUUAUGAAAUAGCACACUAAACAUCUAACCCAGUCCUCUUUAUUUUCCAGGCUUUUAAAUCAAUCUUUGGAGACUUCACUAAAAUAAACUUCUCAAAUGAGCAAGCAGCAUCUCAGAUCAAAGAUGAAACAAGGUUAUUUUAUUCACUUCUACUCUGAGAGGGUCCAGACAUAAACGCAGGACUAACGGAGGGUCGCUCUCGUCAGAGGAAUAUGAAAAAUGAUCUAUCUGUCUAGGGUCCACAGAUCCAUCAUCCAUCAGAAGUGAGAGGAAAGAGAGAACAGAUUGACAAGGAGUGAAAGGGUUUGCCAAGUACUGUCAGUACUGUACAGAGCACAACAAAGGUACAUCAGUGACACGUCCCAGGAACCCGU